UACAGAGGUCUCAAGCGUUGUUCGGAUUCAUUGGGCGUAAAGGGUGCGUAGGCGGCGCGGUAAGUCGGGUGUGAAAUCUCGGAGCUUAACUCCGAAACUGCAUUCGAUACUGCCGUGCUUGAGGACUGGAGAGGAGACUGGAAUUUACGGUGUAGCGGUGAAAUUCGUAGAUAUUCGCAAGAACACCAGUGGCGAAGGCGGCUCACUGGCCCGGUACUGACGCUGAGGUGCGAAAGCGUGGGGAGCAAACAGG
RNAcentral lists this ribosomal RNA (253 nucleotides) under uncultured bacterium. Its description in RNAcentral is "partial 16S ribosomal RNA". It matches the Rfam family "Bacterial small subunit ribosomal RNA", at positions 524 to 776 of the family's 1533-position model. The record is from RNAcentral.